UUCUAUAAAGGUCAGUAAAUCACUUUCAGUGGCCAAAUUGUUAAUGGUUUAACAGGGUUGUAAAAAAGGUGAACUUAUUAAUAUAAUCUUAAUGUAAUGUUUAAUGACAUUCAGUUACCCAUGUCAGAAGUAGUGAUAGCAGAUUUAAUAACUUUUGUUUUCUUUUGAGAGAUUGCUUGAGUGUCAGAGGGGAAAAGUGCAGCAAAAUAUCACUGUCACACUUAUUUGUAACAAACUUUCAUCUCCGUUUCUGAAACUCUGGGAUUUUUUUUUUCAAACAAAUACAAAUAUUGUUUGGUUUUUUAUAUAAUUUAGCAUAAUAACUAUCUUCCUGCAGUUUUCAGACAGCAAUUUCAACCAUACAUGAGUGUGUAUUUUCAGUAUUCUAAAUCUCAAAUGUUAUUUUGUAUGAGUAUUUAUAUGUGUAUAAAUUUUUAUUCUUUUCAUGUUUUGUUGAUAUACAGUAUGUAUGAAUGAAUAUUCUCUUCAUGUUGAACUUUGGUGUAUCAUGUUUUAUUUCAUAUAGCCAUUUUACACCAAAUUGCUUCAGGAGGGAAAACCCUGUUAUUAUAAAUGUUGCAGUGUAGCGGUGAAGAAACCAAAUUGUGUUUUUGACUGUACUCCGUCUGCAUCAGUGGACAGAUGUUACUGAUUGUUGUGUCUCCAUUGAAAGUGAAACUAAAAAGCUGUUUUAAUCACAAAUGUAGAUAAACUUGGAAUAGUUAUAUUAAAUUGUGUGACUGGAUUGGUG
Long non-coding RNA from Thalassophryne amazonica, 751 nucleotides. RefSeq lists it as uncharacterized. The record is from RefSeq and is a predicted model, not a curated record. Lineage: Eukaryota; Metazoa; Chordata; Actinopteri; Batrachoidiformes; Batrachoididae. The transcript is spliced from 2 exons.